AAUUUCCUCACAGCUACUCAGAAAGCGUCAGUUGUCAAAUAAGAAUAGACAAAUAGGUAUUAUUGGGCUUCCGUUACGGGAGACGUAUGCGUCUCGUUAAAAAAAAAGAAGGAUGCCAGUUCAGUAUAUGAACCUGAAGCAGUUGUGAUCUGCGAUGGAGGCCGAUGUUUCGAAAGAGCUUGCAUGCCCAUCGAACGACACAUGAGGGCAGCAUUCAACAACAUAAACAAGCGACUGUACGGCGCUGUCUUCCGAGUGGCCGAAACUGUACCUGUUGUUACCUUUGCCACUUUCUUAUUACUGUGUGUUUUUGGUCCAACGUAAUAACACCAAAAUGGAUGAGAAGCAGGGACCAACUUCUGAUGAUGUCCCAACUGGGGAGGUAACGUCAUCCACAGUUACAGAGGGUGAUGUUGUCAAGAUGCCAACAGAUGUGGCCAUCACUAUGGAUGCUAUUCCCAAUGAAGAUGAGGAGGACAAAUCCAAAGGUCUUGACCCACAAGAUAACCAUUGCCCCAGC
This is a long non-coding RNA of Patiria miniata (bat star), 520 nucleotides long. RefSeq lists it as uncharacterized. The record is from RefSeq and is a predicted model, not a curated record. The transcript has 3 exons. NCBI's taxonomy places the organism in Eukaryota, Metazoa, Echinodermata, Asteroidea, Valvatida, Asterinidae.